This 468-nucleotide ribosomal RNA is filed under the name uncultured bacterium. RNAcentral's name for it is "partial 16S ribosomal RNA". It matches the Rfam family "Bacterial small subunit ribosomal RNA", at positions 28 to 507 of the family's 1533-position model. The record is from RNAcentral.
GACGAACGCUGGCGGCGUGCUUAACACAUGCAAGUCGAACGGAAAGGCCCUGCUUUUGUGGGGUUCUCGAGUGGCGAACGGGUGAGUAACACGUGAGUAACCUGCCCUUGUCUUUGGGAUAACUUCUGGAAACUGGGGCUAAUACCGGAUAUGAGCUCCUGCUGCAUGGUGGGGGUUGGAAAGUUUCGGCGGUUGGGGAUGGACUCGCGGCUUAUCAGCUUGUUGGUGGGGUAGUGGCUUACCAAGGCUUUGACGGGUAGCCGGCCUGAGAGGGUGACCGGCCACAAUGGGACUGAGAUACGGCCCAGACUCCUACGGGAGGCAGCAGUGGGGAAUAUUGCACAAUGGGCGGAAGCCUGAUGCAGCAACGUCGCGAGCGGGAUGACGGCCUUCGGGUUGUAAACCGCUUUCGCCUGUGACGAAGCGUGAGUGACGGUAAUGGGUAAAGAAGCACCGGCUAACUACGUG